Molecule: ribosomal RNA, 253 nt
Filed under: uncultured bacterium
Lineage: Bacteria
Description: partial 16S ribosomal RNA
Rfam family: Bacterial small subunit ribosomal RNA
Source: RNAcentral
UACAGAGGGGGCAAGCGUUGUUCGGAAUUACUGGGCGUAAAGGGCGCGUAGGCGGCCUGCUAAGUCGAACGUGAAAUCCCUGGGCUCAACCCAGGAACUGCGUCCGAUACUGGUUGGCUUGAAUCCGGGAGAGGGAUGUGGAAUUCCAGGUGUAGCGGUGAAAUGCGUAGAUAUCGGGAGGAACACCAGUGGCGAAGGCGGCUUUCUGGCCUGUUCUUGACGCUGAGGCGCGAAAGCUAGGGUAGCAAACGGG